RNAcentral lists this long non-coding RNA (783 nucleotides) under Piliocolobus tephrosceles (Ugandan red Colobus). RNAcentral describes it as "lncRNA (ENSPTEG00000023616.1)". The record is from RNAcentral. Lineage: Eukaryota; Metazoa; Chordata; Mammalia; Primates; Cercopithecidae.
AUGUAUGUAUGUGUGCAUGUACACACGCACGUAUACAUUUUAACUUAUAACAUACAAAAUUUGUAUAUUAUAUUUUUAAGGAUUUACUAUAAAGUACACCGAGAUGAAAUGAGAAGCUUUUGUGUUGAAAUAGAAGAUACAUCUGUUGAUAUAGAUAUAAAUAUAUUUAUGGACAUGAUAAGAAAAGAAUUGACAAUUGAUAAAAAUAGUAUAAAAAAUCCAGUUUUUAGUAUUUUUGAAAAACCUUCAAUUCCGUUUACUCCAGAUAAUAAAUACAACUCAAUUAGCUACGGACGAAUGGCAUAUUUUUUAGUAUUCGAUCUUACAAAUGAAGAAACAUUUGAAUAUGUUAAGACAAUUUAUUUAAACAUGUCAAAUAUUUAUGAUAAAUAUUAUUCUCUAAAGCCGUUUAUAUCUCUUGUUGGAAAUAAAUCAGAUUUGGUAAAAGAAGAUUGUGAAUUAGUUAGGCAAGCAGAACACUUCGCGACCGAACACUUGGUACAAUUAUGGCUCGUAUCAUCGCUUACAGGGAAAAAUGUUAAGAAGUUAUUCUUACAUAUGGUUAACAUGGUUUUCAAUAACACGAAUUUGUGGAAAUACGAUAUGGAAGAUGUAAUAUAUACAUAUACAUGUAUUUACGUUUACACAUAUAUAUAUAUUUACAUGUACAUAUAUGAAUGAAUAAACAUUUCCUCCCCCCCAUUCUUUUCUUUUUUCAGUCUGGAUCCGAAUCUUCAGAAAAUUAAAAUUAAAAAAAAAUAAAAUAAAAUAAAAACCUAAGCA